This 433-nucleotide ribosomal RNA is filed under the name uncultured bacterium. Its description in RNAcentral is "partial 16S ribosomal RNA". It matches the Rfam family "Bacterial small subunit ribosomal RNA", at positions 29 to 507 of the family's 1533-position model. The record is from RNAcentral.
AACGAACGCUGGCGGCAUGCCUAACACAUGCAAGUCGAACGAGACCUUCGGGUCUAGUGGCGCACGGGUGCGUAACGCGUGGGAACCUGCCCUUAGGUUCGGAAUAACUCCCCGAAAGGGGUUCUAAUACCGGAUAAUGUCUUCGGACCAAAGAUUUAUCGCCUUUGGAUGGGCCCGCGUUGGAUUAGCUAGUUGGUAGGGUAAAAGCCUACCAAGGCGACGAUCCAUAGCUGGUCUGAGAGGAUGAUCAGCCACACUGGGACUGAGACACGGCCCAGACUCCUACGGGAGGCAGCAGUGGGGAAUAUUGAACAAUGGGCGAAAGCCUGAUCCAGCAAUGCCGCGUGAGUGAUGAAGGCCUUAGGGUUGUAAAGCUCUUUUACCCGGGAUGAUAAUGACAGUACCGGGAGAAUAAGCUCCGGCUAACUCCGUG